GACGAACGCUGGCGGCGUGCUUAACACAUGCAAGUCGAGCGAACAAAACUCCUUCGGGAGUGGAGUUAGCGGCGGACGGGUGAGGUAACACGUGGGUAACCUGCCUUAUAGAGGGGGAUAGCCUUCCGAAAGGAAGAUUAAUACCGCAUAACGUACGAAACCGGCAUCGGUUUUGUACCAAAGGAGCAAUCCGCUGAUAGAUGGGCUCGCGUCCGAUUAGGUAGUUGGUGAGGUAACGGCUCACCAAGCCUACGAUCGGUAGCCGGACUGAGAGGUUGAACGGCCACAUUGGACUGAGACACGGCCCAGACUCCUACGGAGGCAGCAGUGGGGAAUAUUGCACAAUGGGGGAAACCCUGAUGCAGCGACGCCGCGUGA
Molecule: ribosomal RNA, 378 nt
Filed under: uncultured bacterium
Lineage: Bacteria
Description: bacterial SSU rRNA
Rfam family: Bacterial small subunit ribosomal RNA
Source: RNAcentral